CCUACGGGUGGCAGCAGUGAGGAAUAUUGGUCAAUGGACGAGAGUCUGAACCAGCCAAGUAGCGUGAAGGAUGACUGCCCUAUGGGUUGUAAACUUCUUUUAUCUGGGAAUAAAAUGUUCCACGUGUGGGAUUUUGUAUGUACCAUAUGAAUAAGGAUCGGCUAACUCCGUGCCAGCAGCCGCGGUAAUACGGAGGAUCCGAGCGUUAUCCGGAUUUAUUGGGUUUAAAGGGAGCGUAGGUGGAUUGUUAAGUCAGUUGUGAAAGUUUGCGGCUCAACCGUAAAAUUGCAGUUGAAACUGGCAGUCUUGAGUACAGUAGAGGUGGGCGGAAUUCGUGGUGUGGCGGUGAAAUGCUUAGAUAUCGCGAAGAACUCCGAUUGCGAAGGCAGUUCACUGGACUGCAACUGACACUGAGGCUCGAAAGUGUGGGUAUCAAACAGGAUUAGAUACCCGAGUAGUC
RNAcentral lists this ribosomal RNA (460 nucleotides) under uncultured bacterium. RNAcentral describes it as "partial 16S ribosomal RNA". It matches the Rfam family "Bacterial small subunit ribosomal RNA", at positions 338 to 795 of the family's 1533-position model. The record is from RNAcentral.